AAUCAACGCUGGCGGCGUGCCUCAGACAUGCAAGUCGAACGAUUAAGACUUCCUUCGGGAAGUGAAUAGAGUGGCGCACGGGUGAGUAACACGUAAGUAAUCUACCUUCGAGUGGGGAAUAACGUCCGGAAACGGACGCUAAUACCGCAUAAUGCAGCGGCACCUAAUGGUGACAGUUGUUAAAGAUUUAUUCGCUUGAAGAGGAGCUUGCGGCAGAUUAGCUAGUUGGUAAGGAACGGCUUACCAAGGCAACGAUCUGUAACCGGUCUAAGAGGACGGUCGGUCACACUGACACUGAAUAACGGGUCAGACU
RNAcentral lists this ribosomal RNA (313 nucleotides) under uncultured bacterium. RNAcentral's name for it is "bacterial SSU rRNA". It matches the Rfam family "Bacterial small subunit ribosomal RNA", at positions 32 to 337 of the family's 1533-position model. The record is from RNAcentral.